Molecule: long non-coding RNA, 433 nt
Organism: Oncorhynchus tshawytscha (Chinook salmon)
Lineage: Eukaryota; Metazoa; Chordata; Actinopteri; Salmoniformes; Salmonidae
Source: Ensembl
GCCAAACGUGAUGAACAAAACGGAGUUAUUUCAUCUACACAAAUAAUCUUUUUGGAAAAUAAUGAACAUUUGCUAUCUAACUAAGAGUCUCGUCAUUGAAAACAUCCGAAGUUCUUCAAAGGUUGGGGUGGAUGUUUUGAAUCCGAUGGCACGGGCUGUACUCUUUGAAAGGAGGCACCCGUCGCUGGCCUGUUGCUAUGUUCUGCAAAAUGCUUGACUUGGCUGCUAUCAACGCACACGUGUUGUUCAUCAGUGCAUGAACAACACCAUGCCCAGGAGAGACUUCAUCAUGAGUCUGGCAUACGGGCUACCUGAGAGACAAACGAGGGCCAAGGCAGCAGCAAAGAUUCCACGCAAGCCUUUGCGCGAGCCAAAUUGCGCACAGCUCCCGGGGAGGAGACAGUGUCAGGUGGACAGAUGAACAAAGAACAGA